AUUUGGAACAAGCUGGUAUAAUGCUGGAAUUGCUGUUCCACCUGUUUCCUAGAACAAGCUUGUUCCUUGAUGAGAACAAAUUUAAUUAAAAUCUAAAUUUAAUUUUAAUGAUAGUAAAUUAUUAAUUAAUCUAAUUAAUAUUUUUAAAUCAUUAUUUAUUGCUUUAAUAAUUAAAUAAAUAAUUAAAUUUAUUAUUUAUAAUUAAUUAUUAAUAAUUAGAUAAUUAAUAUUAUUAAUUUAUUAUUUAUAAUUAAUUAUUAAUAAUUAUUAUUAUUUAUUAAUAAAUAUUAAUAUUAAUUAUUAUUAAUAAUUAGAUAAUUAAUAUUAUUAAUUUAUAAUUAAUUAUUAAUAAUUAGAUAAUUAAUAUUAUUAAUUUAUUAUUUAUAAUUAAUUAUUAAAUAAUUAUUAUUAUUAUUUAUAAUUAAUUAUUAAUAAUUAAUUUUUUAUUUAUUUUUAAGUAAUAUUUUGAUGUUAACUAAUUACAUAAUAUAAUUUUAAUUUCAAAUUAUAACUCUUAUUCCUCUUAUUCCAAUCUAACCAUCCAAACACUAUUUACCUUAUUCCUAGGAACAACUAAAUUUUCAUCCGCAAAAUUGGUCUAGUUUCUGCUUGUACCUGAACUUGUACCUAUUCCUGGAACUAGCAGUUCUUAUUUAUAUCCGAACCAAACGCAGCCUAAAUGUAUUGAUAUCUUUUAAUUUUUUAAGUCCUUAGAUCUACUUUUUGGCAUUGGAUCAGAUAGUCAAAAAUAAUGAUUACUUAUUGGGCCUAAUCAUUGCGAAUGAUGUAAGAAUCCCUAUAAAAGUUGAUCCAUUACUUAAAAAGGUUAUAGCAUUAACACUCAUAUAUAUAUAUAUAUGAGUGCGUCUAGGGUGCUUUCGGAAGCACGGAGCGCUCCGUGCUUCCACUUUGUUUUCGAUGUUGGAACUUUCAAAUCGACGAUCGGCUCCGUUAGACUUGAUCUAGAGUAUUUGAAGUAUCUAGAAAAUAAAUUUUGCGAUUUUUCGAUAUCAUUUGCCUAGUGAUCGAAGUGGCUCAAAAUCAACGGCUGAAAAUAAAAAUCUCACAAAAUAUGAUGAUAUGACAUUAAAAUUUUAGAUCAAAGUUAUUGAU
This 1113-nucleotide long non-coding RNA is filed under the name Ananas comosus (pineapple). RNAcentral describes it as "long non-coding RNA (ACOM_LNC006139)". Lineage: Eukaryota; Viridiplantae; Streptophyta; Magnoliopsida; Poales; Bromeliaceae. The record is from RNAcentral.